Non-coding RNA from Lentinula boryana, 93 nucleotides. NCBI's taxonomy places the organism in Eukaryota, Fungi, Basidiomycota, Agaricomycetes, Agaricales, Omphalotaceae. The record is from the annotation of a GenBank genome assembly.
GGCCGCCUGGCGAAAUGGCAUCGCGUCUGACUACGAUUUCUUACCCGGCAUGUGGUAAUCAGGAGAUUGCAGGUUCGACCCCUGCGGUGGUCA